RNAcentral lists this ribosomal RNA (466 nucleotides) under Vreelandella stevensii. RNAcentral describes it as "partial 16S ribosomal RNA". It matches the Rfam family "Bacterial small subunit ribosomal RNA", at positions 338 to 795 of the family's 1533-position model. Lineage: Bacteria; Pseudomonadati; Pseudomonadota; Gammaproteobacteria; Oceanospirillales; Halomonadaceae. The record is from RNAcentral.
CCUACGGGGGGGCAGCAGUGGGGAAUAUUGGACAAUGGGGGCAACCCUGAUCCAGCCAUGCCGCGUGUGUGAAGAAGGCCCUCGGGUUGUAAAGCACUUUCAGUGAGGAAGAACGCCUGGUGGUUAAUACCCAUCAGGAACGACAUCACUCACAGAAGAAGCACCGGCUAACUCCGUGCCAGCAGCCGCGGUAAUACGGAGGGUGCGAGCGUUAAUCGGAAUUACUGGGCGUAAAGCGCGCGUAGGUGGCUUGAUAAGCCGGUUGUGAAAGCCCCGGGCUCAACCUGGGAACGGCAUCCGGAACUGUCAAGCUAGAGUGCAGGAGAGGAAGGUAGAAUUCCCGGUGUAGCGGUGAAAUGCGUAGAGAUCGGGAGGAAUACCAGUGGCGAAGGCGGCCUUCUGGACUGACACUGACACUGAGGUGCGAAAGCGUGGGUAGCAAACAGGAUUAGAUACCCCUGUAGUC